UGGGGAAUAUUGGACAAUGGGCGAAAGCCUGAUCCAGCCAUGCCGCGUGUGUGAAGAAGGUCUUCGGAUUGUAAAGCACUUUAAGUUGGGAGGAAGGGCAGUAAGCGAAUACCUUGCUGUUUUGACGUUACCGACAGAAUAAGCACCGGCUAACUCUGUGCCAGCAGCCGCGGUAAUACAGAGGGUGCAAGCGUUAAUCGGAAUUACUGGGCGUAAAGCGCGCGUAGGUGGUUCGUUAAGUUGAAUGUGAAAGCCCCGGGCUCAACCUGGGAACUGCAUCCAAAACUGGCGAGCUAGAGUAGGGCAGAGGGUGGUGGCAUUUCCUGUGUAGCGGUGAAAUGCGUAGAUAUAGGAAGGAACACCAGUGGCGAAGGCGACCACCUGGGCUCAUACUGACACUGAGGUGCGAAAGCGUGGGGAGCAAACAGG
This 429-nucleotide ribosomal RNA is filed under the name Pseudomonadota bacterium. Its description in RNAcentral is "Proteobacteria bacterium partial 16S ribosomal RNA". It matches the Rfam family "Bacterial small subunit ribosomal RNA", at positions 355 to 776 of the family's 1533-position model. The record is from RNAcentral. Lineage: Bacteria; Pseudomonadati; Pseudomonadota.